GACGAACGCUGGCGGCGUGCUUAACACAUGCAAGUCGAACGGGUCUGCCCUGUUUUUUGCGGGGUGGGUCAGUGGCGAACGGGUGAGUAACACGUGAGUAACCUGCCCCUCACUUCUGGAUAACCGCUUGAAAGGGUGGCUAAUACGGGGUGUUCUGGCUGUGCCGCAUGGUGUGGCUGGGAAAGAUUCACUUUUGUGGUGUUUUGGUGGGGGAUGGGCUCGCGGCCUAUCAGCUUGUUGGUGGGGUGGUGGCCUGCAAAGGCUUUGACGGGUAGCCGGCCUGGGAGGGUGGGCGGUCACGCUGGGACUGGGAUUCGGCCCAGACUCGUGCGGGAGGCAGCAGUGGGGGGUAUUGCACAAUGGGCGGAAGCCUGAUGCAGCGACGUCGCGUGAGGGAUGGAGGCCUUCGGGUUGUGAACCUCUUUCGCCGGUGAAGAAGGUCCUGCUCUUUGUGGUGGGGUUGACGGUAGCCGGGUUAUGAAGCGCCGGCUAACUACGUG
Molecule: ribosomal RNA, 500 nt
Filed under: uncultured bacterium
Lineage: Bacteria
Description: partial 16S ribosomal RNA
Rfam family: Bacterial small subunit ribosomal RNA
Source: RNAcentral